GACGAACGCUGGCGGCGUGCCUAAUACAUGCAAGUUGAGCGCUGAAGGUUGGUACUUGUACCUCCUGUGUGGGCAGCGAACGGGUGAGUAACGCGUGGGGAAUCUGCCUUUGAGCGGGGGACAACAUUUGGAAACGAAUGCUAAUACCGCAUAAAAACUUUAAACACAAGUUUUAAGUUUGAAAGAUGCACUUGCAUCACUCAAAGAUGAUCCCGCGUUGUAUUAGCUAGUUGGUGAGGUAAAGGCUCACCAAGGCGAUGAUACAUAGCCGACCUGAGAGGGGGAUCGGCCACAUUGGGACUGAGACACGGCCCAAACCCCCACAGGAGGGAGCAGGAGGGGAACUUCGGCAAAGGAGGAAAGUCUGGACGAGGAAAGCCGGGGGAGGGAAGGAGGGUUUCGGAUCGUAAAAAUCUGUUGGUAGAGAAGAAAGAUGGGGGGAGUGGAAAGCUCAUAAAGUGACGGUAACUACUCAGAAAGGGACGGCUAACUACGUG
RNAcentral lists this ribosomal RNA (497 nucleotides) under uncultured bacterium. Its description in RNAcentral is "partial 16S ribosomal RNA". It matches the Rfam family "Bacterial small subunit ribosomal RNA", at positions 28 to 507 of the family's 1533-position model. The record is from RNAcentral.